GACGAACGCUGGCGGCGUGCCUAAUACAUGCAAGUCGAGCGAAGAAGCGUGGAACUUGUACCCAUGAGAUGAGCAGCGAACGGGUGAGUAACGCGUGGGGAAUCUGCCUCUUAGAGGGGGACAACAUCGGGAAACGAAUGCUAAUACCGCAUAAUACCUUUAAACACAAGUUUCAAGGGUGAAAGAUGCAUUUGCUGCACUCAAAGAUUAUCCCGCGUUGGAUUAGCUGGUUGGUGAGGUAAAGGCUCACCAAAGCGAUGUUACAUAGCCGACCCGAGAGGGUGGUCAGCCCCAUUGGGACUGAGACACGGCCCAAACCCCUUCGGGAGGCCGCAGUAGGGAAUCUUCGGCAAUUGACGGAAGUCUGACCGAGCAACGCCGCGUGAGGGAAGAAGGUUUUCGGAUCGUAAAACUCUGUUGGUAGAGAAGAACGUUGGUGAGAGUGGAAAGCUCAUCAAGUGACGGUAACUACACAGAAAGCGACGGCUAACUACGUG
This 497-nucleotide ribosomal RNA is filed under the name uncultured bacterium. RNAcentral describes it as "partial 16S ribosomal RNA". It matches the Rfam family "Bacterial small subunit ribosomal RNA", at positions 28 to 507 of the family's 1533-position model. The record is from RNAcentral.